GAUGAACGCUGGCGGCGUGCCUAAUACAUGCAAGUCGAGCGAACAGACGAGGAGCUUGCUCCUCUGACGUUAGCGGCGGACGGGUGAGUAACACGUGGAUAACCUACCUAUAAGACUGGGAUAACUUCGGGAAACCGGAGCUAAUACCGGAUAAUAUAUUGAACCGCAUGGUUCAAUAGUGAAAGACGGUUUUGCUGUCACUUAUAGAUGGAUCCGCGCCGCAUUAGCUAGUUGGUAAGGUAACGGCUUACCAAGGCGACGAUGCGUAGCCGACCUGAGAGGGUGAUCGGCCACACUGGAACUGAGACACGGUCCAGACUCCUACGGGAGGCAGCAGUCGGGAAUCUUCCGCAAUGGUCGAAAGCCUGACGGAGCAACGCCGCGUGAGUGAUGAAGGUCUUCGGAUCGUAAAACUCUGUAAUUAGGGAAGAACAAAUGUGUAAGUAACUAUGCACGUCUUGACGGUACCUAAUCAGAAAGCCACGGCUAACUACGUG
RNAcentral lists this ribosomal RNA (497 nucleotides) under uncultured bacterium. RNAcentral's name for it is "partial 16S ribosomal RNA". It matches the Rfam family "Bacterial small subunit ribosomal RNA", at positions 28 to 507 of the family's 1533-position model. The record is from RNAcentral.